GGUUCCUUGGAUGAGCGGUUUAGUCAGUGGUCUGCAAAACCAUCUACGGCGGUUCGAAUCCGCCAGAGACCUCCA
Molecule: transfer RNA, 75 nt
Filed under: Parabacteroides sp.
Lineage: Bacteria; Pseudomonadati; Bacteroidota; Bacteroidia; Bacteroidales; Tannerellaceae
Description: tRNA-Cys
Rfam family: tRNA
About the family: Transfer RNA (tRNA) molecules are approximately 80 nucleotides in length. Their secondary structure includes four short double-helical elements and three loops (D, anti-codon, and T loops).
Source: RNAcentral